UACGGAGGGUGCAAGCGUUAUCCGGAUUCACUGGGUUUAAAGGGUGCGUAGGUGGGUUGGUAAGUCAGUGGUGAAAUCUCCGUGCUUAACAUGGAAACUGCCAUUGGUACUACUGGUCUUGAAUUUUCUGGAGGUAAGCGGAAUAUGUCAUGUAGCGGUGAAAUGCUUAGAUAUGACAUAGAACACCAAUUGCGAAGGCAGCUUACUACAGGGACAUUGACACUGAGGCACGAAAGCGUGGGGAUCAAACAGG
Molecule: ribosomal RNA, 253 nt
Filed under: uncultured bacterium
Lineage: Bacteria
Description: partial 16S ribosomal RNA
Rfam family: Bacterial small subunit ribosomal RNA
Source: RNAcentral